Molecule: ribosomal RNA, 1319 nt
Filed under: Pseudignambia sp. NLG-2014
Lineage: Eukaryota; Metazoa; Arthropoda; Insecta; Coleoptera; Scarabaeidae
Description: partial 16S ribosomal RNA
Rfam family: Archaeal large subunit ribosomal RNA (bases 1169-1319)
Source: RNAcentral
UAAACUAGGAUUAGAUACCCUAUUAUAAGAAAUGUAAAUAUAUAAAAAUUGAAUUAGUAUUAGUUAUGUUCUUGAAAUUUUAAAAAUUUGGCGGUAUUUUAGUCUUUUCAGAGGAACCUGUCCUAUAAUUGAUAUUCCACGUUUAAUUGUACUUAAUUUAUAUUAGUUUGUAUAUCGUCGUAGUUGAAUGUCUUUAAAAAGUAAAAUGUUCAUGAGUUAUAAUUUAUAAAUUAAAUCAGAUCAAGAUACAGUUUAUAUUUAAGAAGAGAUGGGUUACAAUAAAAUUAUUUAAAUGGUUAUAUUUAUUAAAAUUUUUAUAUAAAGUGGAUUUGAAAGUAAUUUAUUUUAGUUAAAAUAGAUGAUUUAAGCUCUAAAAUAUGCACAUAUCGCCCGUCCCUUUCGUUGAAAUUUAAGAUGAAAUAAGUCGUAACAUAGUAGAUGUACCGGAAGGUGAAUCUAGAAAGUAUUACAAAUUAAAGCUUUAAAAGUAUCCUAUUUACAUUAAGAAGAUAAAUUGUGUAAAUCAAUUUAGUUUGAAUUUAAUAAUUUAUUUUUAUUUUUAUUCAAAAUUUUAUUUAAAAAAAAUAUUUUUAUAUUUAUUUAUUAUUUAAGAUAAAAUUAUUAUAAUUAUAGUGUAAAGUAAAGUAAUUGAAUAUUGAAAUAAUUUAAAAUAUUAAAAUAUUUUAAAGAAAAAUUUAAUUUUUGUACCAUGUGUAUCAGGGUUUAUUAAAUAAUAAUUAUUUAUUUUAGUUUUCUCGAAUUUAAAAGAGUUAUAAAAUUAUUAAUCUUAUUGUAAGAUAUAUAGGCCUGCCCUAUGAAUUAUUUAAAUGGCCGCGGUAUUUUAACCGUGCAAAGGUAGCACAAUAAUUAGUUUUUUAAUUGAGAACUGGUAUGAAUGGCUAGACGAGAAAAAUUCUGUCUCAAUUUAAUUUAAAUUAGAAUUUUAUUUUUAAGUUAAAAAGCUUAAAUAAGUUUAGAAGACGAGAAGACCCUAUAGAGUUUUAUAUUAAUUAUAUUAUUUAUAAUAUAAAGUAUUUUUAUUUAAUUAAAAUAUAUUAGUAUUUAAUUGGGGUGAUUGAAAAAUUAAAUAAACUUUUUUUAAUUAAAAACAUUUAUAUAUGAAUUAAUGAUCCAUUUUUAUAUGAUUAUAAGAUUAAAUUACCUUAGGGAUAACAGCGUUAUUUUUUUUGAGAGUUCUUAUCGAAAAAAAAGUUUGCGACCUCGAUGUUGGAUUAAAAUUAACUUAUGGUGAAGAAGCUAUUAAAAGUUAGGUCUGUUCGACCUUUAAAAUUUUACAUGAUCUGAGUUCAAACCGGAGA